CUACGUGCCAGCAGCCGCGGUAAUACGUAGGGCGCAAGCGUUGUCCGGAAUUAUUGGGCGUAAAGAGCUCGUAGGCGGCUGGUCGCGUCUGUCGUGAAAACUUCCGGCUCAACCGGGGGCUUGCGGUGGGUACGGGCCGGCUAGAGUGCGGUAGGGGUAACUGGAACUCCUGGUGUAGCGGUGGAAUGCGCAGAUAUCAGGAAGAACACCGAUGGCGAAGGCAGGUUACUGGGCCGUUACUGACGCUGAGGAGCGAAAGCGUGGGGAGCGAACAGGAUUAGAUACCCUGGUAGUCCAUGCCGUAAACGUUGGGCACUAGGUGUGGGGGACAUUCCACGUUUUCCGCGCCGUAGCUAACGCAUUAAGUGCCCCGCCUGGGGAGUACGGCCGCAAGGCUAAAACUCAAAGGAAUUGACGGGGGCCCGCACAAGCGGCGGAGCAUGCGGAUUAAUUCGAUGCAACGCGAAGAACCUUACCAAGGCUUGACAUGUUAACCGUGGCUCUAGAGAUAGG
Molecule: ribosomal RNA, 513 nt
Filed under: uncultured bacterium
Lineage: Bacteria
Description: bacterial SSU rRNA
Rfam family: Bacterial small subunit ribosomal RNA
Source: RNAcentral